Molecule: long non-coding RNA, 238 nt
Organism: Archocentrus centrarchus (flier cichlid)
Lineage: Eukaryota; Metazoa; Chordata; Actinopteri; Cichliformes; Cichlidae
Exons: 3
Source: RefSeq, a predicted model, not a curated record
AACCCAGAACCCUCUUGCUCUCACUGACAUUUUGUGGUGGGUACAGGAGGAUUUGCAUGUUCAGGAAUGUGGCCUGUGGAGUGUACCUCACCUUUUGAACUUGUGGUUCUGGGCCAAGGGUGACACGGUUGGUGAUUGCAGUUUGUUACCACAAGGUAAAAAAAAAACUUUUUAAUUAUAAUUAUGAUUCUUUUUCAUUAUAAUGCUCUCAUUUCUGUUUCCCUUGCUUUCUUCCUCU